GCUUCAACAGUGACAACACUAUUUCCUCUGAUUACCACCAUGCCUAUGUCAGUUCUCUCAUCACCAUUCACCUCCACAGUGUUGUCAACCACCAAAUUCAUGAAUUGAUCAAAUCCACGAAGUGUUCCAACUACCAUCCUAUUUGCAUUCAGCUUAAUUUGAAGUUUCUUGUCCAUGUACUUCUUGAGAUCUGGAGGCUGGCCUGAUCUGCUCAUGUUGAGCGGCUUCGAUCGAGUGUGCUUUAC
Molecule: unclassified non-coding RNA, 245 nt
Filed under: Hevea brasiliensis (rubber tree)
Lineage: Eukaryota; Viridiplantae; Streptophyta; Magnoliopsida; Malpighiales; Euphorbiaceae
Source: RNAcentral